AUCCAAUUGACGAGCUCUAAAUAGGACGGAACGCGCGUCCUGAAU
Molecule: non-coding RNA, 45 nt
Organism: Schistosoma curassoni
Lineage: Eukaryota; Metazoa; Platyhelminthes; Trematoda; Strigeidida; Schistosomatidae
Source: Rfam